Vidua chalybeata is the source of this 1355-nucleotide long non-coding RNA. RefSeq lists it as uncharacterized. The record is from RefSeq and is a predicted model, not a curated record. The transcript is spliced from 2 exons. Lineage: Eukaryota; Metazoa; Chordata; Aves; Passeriformes; Viduidae.
GCCUUUCCUCCCCUUCCACCUUUUCAUUUGAAAGAAAAGAGGCAAAAGCAAGAAUUCUCACUAUGUUCAUUACAGAACACAGUCAUACUCUAACAAGACACUGCUGCCAGGAACCUCUUGCUGUAACUAGAAAAAAAAGCCCAAAACAUCCUGUUAAAAUGCUAAAAAUAUAUUUUAAAAGGAAUGGGCAUAUGAAUGAGACGACUGAUUAAUGAAGAUUAUGAAUAGUUCGAGAACGGGCAUACAGGAACUGCGGAAAGAAAAAGCAGCUCUUAAUUCUGUGAAUCACGACUUUUGGAUGGGAAGGCUGAGCACAAGAACAGGAAACCCAUCAGAGUAACUGCAGUGAGACUGAAACACGACAGAAAAAAAUGAAAUUUACAUUAUUUUCUCUCCUAGGUCGCCCAUUAAUCCGAAAAAACCAACUCCUUGGGAAGAAGGAACAUCCCUCACUCGCACGACACGGAGGGAUCCGAGCACGCUGCGAGCAUUUAAACACGACACGGCAGCAAACGCAGAAAGGUGCAGGCGGAAAGAGCCGAGCGUCGACGGAAAACAGCUGGGAAAGCCGCGCUCGGCAGCCGGGAGGAAACUACUCGGCGCCGGAGAUGGCCGAGGAGAGACGGAGAUGGCCGAGGCGAGACGGAGAUGGCCGAGCUGGAGCGGAGAUGAUCGAGCGAGAACGGAGAUGAUCGAGCGUGAGGGGAAGCCCGGCAGGGCCUGUGGCUCGUCCCUCAGAGCACCCAUGGAAUGUAGAACUUGCACUUGGUGCCACAGAACGAGCUCUGGGGAUCCCCAGGUCUGUCGGGAACCCCCGCGUCUCUCGGGGUGCUGGUGCGAGGGCCCCCGCGCUGGGUUUGGCUGGUGGCUCCCGUGCCCCCGUUCCCAGUGUCGGGGUUAGCACGGCCCGGCUCCUGUCCCCGUCACCGAGGGGUCCGUGCUGAUGGUGCUCCCCGCUAGGUUCAGCCAGGAUGUCAGAAAAUCGCAGGAUCAUGUGGGUUGAGAAAGACCUCCCAAACCAUCGAGUCCAGCCUGUGACCGAUCGCCGCCUUGUCAAUAGGCCAGAGCACUGAGUGCCACCUCCAGUCGUUCCUUGGACACCUCCCUGGGCAGCCCCUUCCAAUGUUUAACAACCCAUUCUGUGAAGAAAUUCCUUGUGAUGUCCUCAUAUCCAGGAGUAAAACUGGCAGACCAGGGUAUAAGUACAAGGCAGAUAAUUUGCCAGUUACAACUUGGAUGUGUUUGAAAGCGCAAUAUCUGACACACAGAGCUUUAGCAAAAGAACGGAAUAAAGAUGUACAAAUUAACCUCAAUUUAUUAAAUAUACUGACCUAUCAAUAGCCGCCUGCAGCUAG